GGAGGAUUACCCAAGUCCGGCUGAAGGGAACGGUCUUGAAAACCGUCAGGCGUGUAAAGCGUGCGUGGGUUCGAAUCCCACAUCCUCCU
Molecule: transfer RNA, 89 nt
Filed under: Streptococcus agalactiae
Lineage: Bacteria; Bacillati; Bacillota; Bacilli; Lactobacillales; Streptococcaceae
Also listed under: 1 other name
Description: tRNA-Ser(tga)
Rfam family: tRNA
About the family: Transfer RNA (tRNA) molecules are approximately 80 nucleotides in length.
Source: RNAcentral